Molecule: ribosomal RNA, 712 nt
Filed under: uncultured Serratia sp.
Lineage: Bacteria; Pseudomonadati; Pseudomonadota; Gammaproteobacteria; Enterobacterales; Yersiniaceae
Description: bacterial SSU rRNA
Rfam family: Bacterial small subunit ribosomal RNA
Source: RNAcentral
GCGAACAGGAUUAGAUACCCUGGUAGUCCACGCCGUAAACGAUGUCGACUUGGAGGUUGUUCCCUUGAGGAGUGGCUUCCGGAGCUAACGCGUUAAGUCGACCGCCUGGGGAGUACGGCCGCAAGGUUAAAACUCAAAUGAAUUGACGGGGGCCCGCACAAGCGGUGGAGCAUGUGGUUUAAUUCGAUGCAACGCGAAGAACCUUACCUACUCUUGACAUCCAGAGAACUUAGCAGAGAUGCUUUGGUGCCUUCGGGAACUCUGAGACAGGUGCUGCAUGGCUGUCGUCAGCUCGUGUUGUGAAAUGUUGGGUUAAGUCCCGCAACGAGCGCAACCCUUAUCCUUUGUUGCCAGCGGUUAGGCCGGGAACUCAAAGGAGACUGCCAGUGAUAAACUGGAGGAAGGUGGGGAUGACGUCAAGUCAUCAUGGCCCUUACGAGUAGGGCUACACACGUGCUACAAUGGCGCAUACAAAGAGAAGCGACCUCGCGAGAGCAAGCGGACCUCAUAAAGUGCGUCGUAGUCCGGAUUGGAGUCUGCAACUCGACUCCAUGAAGUCGGAAUCGCUAGUAAUCGUAGAUCAGAAUGCUACGGUGAAUACGUUCCCGGGCCUUGUACACACCGCCCGUCACACCAUGGGAGUGGGUUGCAAAAGAAGUAGGUAGCUUAACCUUCGGGAGGGCGCUUACCACUUUGUGAUUCAUGACUGGGG